Molecule: ribosomal RNA, 253 nt
Filed under: uncultured bacterium
Lineage: Bacteria
Description: partial 16S ribosomal RNA
Rfam family: Bacterial small subunit ribosomal RNA
Source: RNAcentral
UACGAAGGGGGCUAGCGUUGUUCGGAAUCACUGGGCGUAAAGCGCACGUAGGCGGAUUCCUAAGUCAGGGGUGAAAUCCCGAGGCUCAACCUCGGAACUGCCUUUGAUACUGGGGAUCUUGAGUCCGGGAGAGGUGAGUGGAACUGCGAGUGUAGAGGUGAAAUUCGUAGAUAUUCGCAAGAACACCAGUGGCGAAGGCGGCUCACUGGCCCGGUACUGACGCUGAGGUGCGAAAGCGUGGGGAGCAAACAGG